UGCCCAGAUCUAAGGAAUAGCCACUGGAAACGGUGAGUAAUACCUUAUACGCCCUUCGGGGAAAGAUUUAUCGGAUUUGGAUCGGCCCGCGUUAGAUUAGGUAGUUGGUGGGGUAACGGCCUACCAAGCCUACGAUCUAUAGCUGGUUUUAGAGGAUGAUCAGCAACACUGGGACUGAGACACGGCCCAGACUCCUACGGGAGGCAGCAGUGGGGAAUCUUGGACAAUGGGCGCAAGUGAUCCAGCCAUGCCGCGUGAGUGAUGAAGGCCUUAGGGUCGUAAAGCUCUUUCGCCAGGGAUGAUAAUGACAGUACCUGGUAAAGAAACCCCGGCUAACUCCGUGCCAGCAGCCGCGGUAAUACGGAGGGGGUUAGCGUUGUUCGGAAUUACUGGGCGUAAAGCGUACGUAGGCGGAUCAGAAAGUUGGGGGUGAAAUCCCGGGGCUCAACCCCGAACUGCCUCCAAAACUCCUGGUCUAGAGUUCGAGAGAGGUGAGUGGAAUUCCGAGUGUAGAGGUGAAAUUCGUAGAUAUUCGGAGGAACACCAGUGGCGAAGCGGCUCACUGGCUCGAUACUGACGCUGAGGUACGAAAGUGUGGGGAGCAAACAGGAUUA
This 614-nucleotide ribosomal RNA is filed under the name uncultured bacterium. RNAcentral describes it as "bacterial SSU rRNA". It matches the Rfam family "Bacterial small subunit ribosomal RNA", at positions 127 to 780 of the family's 1533-position model. The record is from RNAcentral.